CCUGCGCGGAAGAUGUAACGGGGCUAAACCAUGCACCGAAGCUGCGGCAGCGAUGCUUAUGCGUUGUUGGGUAGGGGAGCGUUCUGUAAGCCUGCGAAGGUGUGCUGUGAGGCAUGCUGGAGGUAUCAGAAGUGCGAAUGCUGACAUAAGUAACGAUAAAGCGGGUGAAAAGCCCGCUCGCCGGAAGACCAAGGGUUCCUGUCCAACGUUAAUCGGGGCAGGGUGAGUCGACCCCUAAGGCGAGGCCGAAAGGCGUAGUCGAUGGGAAACAGGUUAAUAUUCCUGUACUUGGUGUUACUGCGAAGGGGGGACGGAGAAGGCUAUGUUGGCCGGGCGACGGUUGUCCCGGUUUAAGCGUGUAGGCUGGUUUUCCAGGCAAAUCCGGAAAAUCAAGGCUGAGGCGUGAUGACGAGGCACUACGGUGCUGAAGCAACAAAUGCCCUGCUUCCAGGAAAAGCCUCUAAGCAUCAGGUAACAUCAAAUCGUACCCCAAACCGACACAGGUGGUCAGGUAGAGAAUACCAAGGCGCUUGAGAGAACUCGGGUGAAGGAACUAGGCAAAAUGGUGCCGUAACUUCGGGAGAAGGCACGCUGAUAUGUAGGUGAAGUCCCUUGCGGAUGG
Molecule: ribosomal RNA, 622 nt
Filed under: Shigella sonnei
Lineage: Bacteria; Pseudomonadati; Pseudomonadota; Gammaproteobacteria; Enterobacterales; Enterobacteriaceae
Description: partial 23S ribosomal RNA
Rfam family: Bacterial large subunit ribosomal RNA
Source: RNAcentral